This 460-nucleotide ribosomal RNA is filed under the name uncultured bacterium. Its description in RNAcentral is "partial 16S ribosomal RNA". It matches the Rfam family "Bacterial small subunit ribosomal RNA", at positions 338 to 795 of the family's 1533-position model. The record is from RNAcentral.
CCUACGGGGUGCAGCAGUGAGGAAUAUUGGUCAAUGGGCGGAAGCCUGAACCAGCCAAGUAGCGUGCAGGAUGACGGCCCUACGGGUUGUAAACUGCUUUUAUACGGGAAUAACGCGCCUUACGUGUAGGGCUUUGCAUGUACAGUAUGAAUAAGGACCGGCUAAUUCGGUGCCAGAAGCCGGGGGAAUACGGAGGGUCCGGGUGUUAGCCGGAUUUAUUGGGUUUAAAGGGGGCGUAGGCCGCAUGUCAAGCGUGCUGUGAAAUGUCCGGGCUCAACCCGGGCCUUGCAGCGCGGACUGGCGUGCUUGAGUCCGCGGAAAGCAGGCGGAAUUCGUCGUGUAGCGGUGAAAUGCUUAGAUAUGACGAAGAACCCCGAUUGCGAAGGCAGCUUGCUGCAGCGGAACUGACGCUGAUGCUCGAAAGCGCGGGUAUCGAACAGGAUUAGAUACCCGUGUAGUC